GUCAAAUUAUAGCAUAUAAAAUGCCUUUUAUUUACAUUAAAAAAAAAAAUCAUAUUUUAAUU
RNAcentral lists this transfer RNA (62 nucleotides) under Orobdella angustata. Its description in RNAcentral is "tRNA-Val". Lineage: Eukaryota; Metazoa; Annelida; Clitellata; Hirudinida; Orobdellidae. The record is from RNAcentral.